GGUUGUCGUCAGCUCGUGUCGUGAGAUGUUGGGUUAAGUCCCGCAACGAGCGCAACCCUCGACCUUAGUUGCCAGCAUUCAGUUGGGCACUCUAAGGUGACUGCCGGCUAAAAGUCGGAGGAAGGUGGGAUGACGUCAAAUCAUCAUGCCCCUUAUGACCUGGGCUACACACGUGCUACAAUGGGCGGUACAAAGGGUCGCGAACCCGCGAGGGGGAGCCAAUCCCAAAAAGCCGCUCUCAGUUCGGAUUGCAGGCUGCAACUCGCCUGCAUGAAGCCGGAAUCGCUAGUAAUCGCGGAUCAGCAUGCCGCGGUGAAUACGUUCCCGGGCCUU
Molecule: ribosomal RNA, 333 nt
Filed under: uncultured Anoxybacillus sp.
Lineage: Bacteria; Bacillati; Bacillota; Bacilli; Caryophanales; Anoxybacillaceae
Description: bacterial SSU rRNA
Rfam family: Bacterial small subunit ribosomal RNA
Source: RNAcentral